Aedes albopictus (Asian tiger mosquito) is the source of this 5163-nucleotide long non-coding RNA. RefSeq lists it as uncharacterized. The record is from RefSeq and is a predicted model, not a curated record. Lineage: Eukaryota; Metazoa; Arthropoda; Insecta; Diptera; Culicidae. The transcript has 2 exons.
GAGAGAAUUUUCCAUAUUGGGUUUAUGUGUCACCUGAUAUAGAUUUUUGCAAUUAGAAACUAAAUAUAAACAUUAUGUGUAUGACACAUAUACGAGGAUGAACUUCGCCGUUAUUAAAAUUAUGUGUCGAGUAUAUAAAUGACAGAAUGAUCAAAUAUUAAUGUUAUGAUCCCAUCGUAUAUAGUUUUUAUUAGUGUUUCCAAUUAUUUUUACUGCUUCUCUUUUGUUUUAUGUAUAGUUGGAGGUUAGUUCCCUUUGCUUUAUUGAUAAAUUGAUAAAAUAACUAUAGACAUAUUAUUGAUAAUAUUGUAUAUUUCUGGCGUUCGAUUAGAAUAGGUCGUAUGUUUCCUGUGAUUCUUAUGUUGAUAGGACCUAUUCAAAUCGAACGCCAGAUUUAUUUAAAGAAGUUUCUACAUGAAGUGCGGACCGUCGGUAGUAGGUAUUGCUAUAAAUCUCGAGAAAAAAAUAACACUUUUAAUCAAGCUGCAAAUACGCCGUGCCUUGCUUCCAAUAGACCAUUCCCGUCAAAAAUUUUUAUGUGCUCUACGGCUUUCUGAUAAUUUAUUGAGUAAACUUUCCCAAGGAACCCAUAUGUUUUGAAGGCUCUAACUAUUGAAAAACAAUGAAAAACCUGCGAAGUAGCACUUUUCCCCACAGUCUCCUAUAUUUUAUUUCACCCCAAUUUCCGCCAGACCCCUUUCUCCUCUAUGGAUCGACCGCAGUGCUGUGGUGAGUUUCUGAUGCGAACUGUCAGACUUUUGUUAUUGUUUUGAUUUAGUGCAAAUCGGCUCCGGAGGUUCCGAAAAUUCCAAUAAUUAUUGGAAAUCAUGAAGACUUAAAGACACUUUGUGUCUAAGAAGCGGUGACGAGCACAUCCCGCGGAUCCCUCUAAGCGACCAGUCACUGAACGAGGACACAAAUUUGCCAUAAUUGGUGUCGCAGUAUCAAAUUAAGCACUGUUUUUAGCUUGUCACCGGUGCACUCGGUCCGGCUUGUUCGAGAUGAGGACGAGUAGACCGCGUUCCACCAGGAGAUGGGAACAGGAAAGCAUCUUUGGAUACCGGGAUCUGCAGAUUGACGUAUGCUUUGCGUCCAGUUACUAUAUUUAAACAUACAUUUGGAAAAGGUUGAUGUUUGCUCAGGCAGGAGUAAAAGCCGACGACGUGGAAAAAGUUCUCGCGGAAAUUGUAAAUACAAAAAAGUGGUCAAAGUUAAACCCGAUUCGUUCGGAGAGAAGGUCGACGAGUUCCAAAUUGGUGCCGGGACAACGGACGGCGGCGCCACUUGAACGUUCGAGCUUUACGUCAAUGACUUCCAACGAAAGGGAAAUCGUGAAAUUCCACUCGACAUCGGAGUUACCCGCAGUUCAUCAGGCCGCCUCCAUUCCAGAAACUAGCCAUUACCUCCCACUUGAUCGCAAACACGAUUUUCAAGUACAUUAUAGGUACUUCUCGGAUUGUACCGAAGGAGAACGUUGCCGACAUCACCUACGAGAAACCGACGUGGUCCAGCCCAUCCGAUCGGUGGCAGCGCUGUAUGGUCCUGCCGUCGUUUGAUAAGGAACGGCUGCCAGCCAGAUUCUCGAAGAGCAUGCUACUGGAUGCCAAGGUGUGAGCAGAGCUUUCAGUAUUUCCUCGUCGUUGGAAGAUCAUCAUGCUGGUUACAAGGAAGUGGAACAAUGCUACCAUCAGUUGUGGAAGAAAAUGAAUUCAUUCCGAGUAAGCGCAGUGCACUUCAGAUACACUUCUUUUCCUUUAGAGGAUUCUAUUAUAUCUCAUUUGUUUCGUUUAAAUAUUAUAAGGAUGUUUUUUUCAACUAAUGCCUGAUUGCGUUUAUUUUUAAUCGGAUGACUCACCUUAAAUGUAGGUAGUAGGGUAUAUGGUAAUUUUUCUUAAUUAGAACUGUUCACUACAAGCAUCGAUCUAGAUUAAAUAAGCCUAAGAAAUACUAAUAUAUAGAAGUUUGCGAAUUGAGUGGCUAAUUUCAAAAGACGACAUCUUGCAACAUUAGACGACAUGAUGAACCUCGAAAUUUCGUAGUAAGGAAUCGAUCAAAAACUUUCUCGAGCGAUUCCUUUCGAACACGGAACUGGGCUUUAAAAAAGAAGCAACAAAUUUCAGAAGUAAAUAUGCGAAGCCUUACCUCACCUUACUAUUUGAGAGAAAAUGGAAAACCUAACUAUUUGAAAAUAUUUAGCACUGAAAAUAAUUAUUCAUGAACCUCUGUAACUUUCCUUGAGGUUUAAGAAAGAAGUUACAAAUUCCAAAAGUAAAUACGUGACACCUUGCUAUUUGAGGACACACUCAGAAAUAAGGAUAUUCAUGAAAUGACUAUUUUUCAUUCAUUUCAUAACUUAAUCGCAUUUAUGCAUUAAGAUUUCAAAGAAAAAGAUUCUCAGUGCAUAUAUCUUAUAGUUAGAAUUCAUAAAUUAAUUAAAGUAAGAGAAUGUGUAAUUUUUAGACUCCUGUACGGUGGCAACUUACAAUAAAAGCGCCGCAGUUAUAGAUUCUGUUUAGAACUGUACUUUCCGAUUUUGUUAAAAAUUUUCAAGUUUGUAUAUUUAUUAAGUAAUAUUUGUAAAACUAUUAGUGUAACUCCAGAAGUUCCGCAUAAGGGAUGCAGUGCAGUCUUACGUGAGUAAAAUAAAUCGGCCCCUUCAUUUUACGUUACCACGAAGAUUAUCCUUAUCCCAUAUUUAAUUACAUUAUAUCCUUUGCAGAGCACCAGAUUGACACCGUGGACAGGUUCCUUUUGGUGGCUCAGGAUGUGGAUUUGCCAAAUCGGAACAUUAUUUGUGGGCCAGGAUACUCAUCAUAGAGCCCAUCAGGUUAUGGGAAGUUAAGGAUUCUCAGCAGAACCAGUAGAAAGUGGAAAUAUUGAACUUUGUCAAAAUGAUUCAUUUUUUUUAUAAUAUAAAUUUAUUAUUAAGCUUGAAACGCUUCAUGUUGAAAUUUAGCUGCUAAUUCACCGAUUUAAUAUAUUGAAAUGAAAUUCCUAAAGAAAAGCGAAAUUUUACUUAUAUUUAUACAUAAAAUGCAUAAAAUUUAGAAAAUAUUACAAGGAACAACUUUUUUAAAAAGUACUAAAAAAUAUGCAUUCUGAAAACUAAAUGGUAUAUAGUUUUGCUCAACUAAUUCAUAUUUAGUCAGUUAAUGCAUGAACCCAGUCGAACCGCAAUUUUGCAUAGAAAAUAUUCAUUAAUGACUUUAUUUAUUUCUGAGUGCAUAGUGAACUCAACUGAAAUUUAUUAGUACAAACAAUUUCUCUGUAACUUCUUGUUCUUUGUGGCUCGACGUUCCCACUGGAACAUGGCCUACCUCUCUUCAACUUCUUUGAGCAUUUCCACAGUUAUAAAUUGAGGGGCUUUCUUUGCCUGCCAAUGCAUGAAUUUGUAUAUUGUGAGGCAUAAGCACCACGAUCAGGCAUGAGAAUGAGACUUUUUUCUGUUUACCGUUCAUCGAUACUAGCAGUAAAAUAAAAACAAAACAACGGCAGCACCAAUACCAUCAGACGCCGCGCCGACGGCAGUCACGCAGACGCUUGAUGGUUUUCGCUUCCCCACGAAAAUAUUUAUGAGCAGUCAAGCUGAGGCGGGUGAUUGCGAAAAAUGUCAAAUAUUUUCAACUGCUAAUAACUCACUUGUUUUGAUAGAUAAUUUAAAUCGGUUUGCACAAAUAACUAGAGCACACUCCUAGCUUUGUGAUGCAUGUAAAGAAGUGUGUCUAGAAGCGGUUUGAAACGCAGAAAAAUGCGAAAAUGGGAGAGCCAGAAAUUUUUGUCGUCGUUGUGCUCGAGUACUGGCGCUCUCGCGCUUGGAAACCGUUUCGAGGAAGAAGGCUGCAGGAAAAAAAAUGUUAUGACAUUUAUUUUUCGAACAGUUUGAGUUUGGCUGGGCUUGUGAUGUUCGUGUGGAAAAAUGUCAAAUGUACAGCCGGUUACCGUUUUUUCCAGUAUUGCUUUUUUCACUGAAAAUUUUCCUUACUUCGCUGAACAACAUGACGUUUUCUUCCAGCGAAGGCUUACGCGAUACAGAAAAUCGCUGAAUUUCACACUAACACUGCAGAAAAUCUGUCAAGAAUAACUCAAUACACAUGCAUUUUCAGCGAAAAGAUCUAUUUGCGUGACAACAAUCCACUCACAUGCCUACCGGGCGGCCGCCGUCAAAUAUCAGGAUUGCCAACUGUUCGGCGACUGCUGUCAGUUUUCUUUGUCGCCGAAUCUGGCGCUGGGUCUUCGGCGCGGAAACCCAAAGGUGGGAAUAAAAUGUUGGGGUUUGCGCGCAAUACAUUUCCCAUCCCUGACCACGAUGCACUUCUGCUCGGCGUGUGACGUGACAAAAGUCGUGUCGCAUGUGUCACCCGAUUCCCGUAGGCGGAUGCGGUGACAAGAGUCGGUGUGGGUGAACACCGAUGAACUCUCACCGCAUUCCCACAGUCGCUUCAGAUCGACAAAUGUCGCAUUCAAGUGACGUUUGAAUGUGAGAUUUGUCGUAACCUCGGGAGGUGUCGACAGCUCAACCAGAACGAGUUAAAACAUAAAUAAAUUGACAUCGACGGAACGGUGUAUCGAUCAACCGGAUGCCGGCGAACGUGGGUACCAAAAAUUCGCUUUGCGUAUAGUCAUCCCACCAUCGCGAAGGACAACUAUACGUUUUAGUCAAACGAAAAACACCGGAACAUUUGAGGUGAACUCGGCGUCGUGGUGCACAAACCGAGAGGAGUAGGCCCGUUCUGCGCCAAGCAGUUUCCAGCAUGAACUAAGGGAAGCUCGGAUUUCGGCAACAGGUUUAGGAGCAACAGGAAGGAUCACAUGGACCCAUUCCAUCCGAAGAUAUCGAUGAUCGUGUCGUCAGUUCACAAUCGGAGGGAAAGGGUAAUGCCGCUAGGGAUGAUCGAAUACCGUGAUUAGGAUGACGAAGGAGAGUCCCAGAAAUAGCGCGUCCCUAUGGAAUUUGAAAUUUGAACGCACCAAGAAUAUCGUUUAAGAAGCAUCCGCUUGUGGAAACUAAGGCUUUUACGAAGCUGGAGAGUAUUUAGAAGAUGGACCUUAAAUGGAAAUUAGUCGCUCGUGGAGCUGAGUUGAUUAGUUUAGUUGUGUAAUUGUGACAUGUAUUUGAGAAGCGCAAAAUAAAUAAUUUAGGAUACUUUUGUAUUUGUGUAAAUA